GCACGAGACACUAAUGGU
This 18-nucleotide non-coding RNA is filed under the name Arabidopsis thaliana (thale cress). The record is from RNAcentral. Lineage: Eukaryota; Viridiplantae; Streptophyta; Magnoliopsida; Brassicales; Brassicaceae.